This 385-nucleotide ribosomal RNA is filed under the name Conothele taiwanensis. Its description in RNAcentral is "eukaryotic LSU rRNA". The stretch from base 3 to 123 matches the Rfam family "5.8S ribosomal RNA", at positions 34 to 154 of the family's 154-position model. The record is from RNAcentral. Lineage: Eukaryota; Metazoa; Arthropoda; Arachnida; Araneae; Ctenizidae.
GACGAUGAAGAACGCAGCCAGCUGCGAGACUUGGUGUGAAUUGCAGGACACAUUGAGCACUGAUUUUUCGAACGCACAUUGCGGCCUCGGUUCCUACCCGGGGCCUCGCCUGUCUGAGGGUCGGAUGAGACUUACCGAAGGGGAAUCCUUCCCCUACCUGGUCGUUCCGGGAACGGUCCCGAACCGUAACCGCCGACCUAAGGAAGAGACCUGGUCUCCGAACUUGUUUCCGAGAGUUCGGCGGUCGACGGCCGUGGAAUUCGCGUGUUCAAACCCAUCGAACCGCCUGCCGUCGUUCCGCAGACUCUCGGGAGACCUCACAGAUGUCGACCUCAGAUCAGACGAGACGACCCGCUGAAUUUAAGCAUAUCAAUAAGCGGAGGAA